GCGCGCUUAGCUCAAUUGGUAGAGCGCCUCAUUGACGUUGAGGAUGUUGUAGGUUCAAGUCCUGCAGCGCGCA
Molecule: transfer RNA, 73 nt
Filed under: bacterium
Lineage: Bacteria
Description: tRNA-Val
Rfam family: tRNA
About the family: Transfer RNA (tRNA) molecules are approximately 80 nucleotides in length. Their secondary structure includes four short double-helical elements and three loops (D, anti-codon, and T loops).
Source: RNAcentral